AGUGGUCUGAGCACCAGACUGCAACUCUGGAGACCAGGGUUCAAAUCCCUGCU
RNAcentral lists this transfer RNA (53 nucleotides) under Anolis carolinensis (green anole). It matches the Rfam family "tRNA", at positions 14 to 64 of the family's 71-position model. Rfam says of the family: Transfer RNA (tRNA) molecules are approximately 80 nucleotides in length. The record is from Rfam by way of RNAcentral. Lineage: Eukaryota; Metazoa; Chordata; Lepidosauria; Squamata; Anolidae.